RNAcentral lists this Y RNA (113 nucleotides) under Prolemur simus (greater bamboo lemur). RNAcentral's name for it is "Y RNA (ENSPSMG00000010124.1)". It matches the Rfam family "Y RNA". Rfam says of the family: Y RNAs are components of the Ro ribonucleoprotein particle (Ro RNP), in association with Ro60 and La proteins. The Y RNAs and Ro60 and La proteins are well conserved, but the function of the Ro RNP is not known. The record is from Rfam by way of RNAcentral. Lineage: Eukaryota; Metazoa; Chordata; Mammalia; Primates; Lemuridae.
GGCUGGUCCGAAGGCAGUGAGUUACCUCAAUUGAUUGUUCAUAGUCAGUUACAGACAAAACUCCUUGUUCUACUUUUUCCGCCAUUCUCAUUACUGCAGUUGACUAGUCUAAG